AAUAAUGGUGAGCUGGAUGGGGGAGCCGCAAGGCUCGCCGGAUCCUUGUUAGCCGGUCGUACUAACCCUAUCCAGCUCGCCACCAUA
This 87-nucleotide non-coding RNA is filed under the name Rhodnius prolixus. Lineage: Eukaryota; Metazoa; Arthropoda; Insecta; Hemiptera; Reduviidae. The record is from RNAcentral.